AAGCCAGCGAGGAUGGCUGCGCGCGCGUUUGAGCGCUCGCGCGCGGCGACCCGUCUGUCUCCUUUUUUUCUUUUUUAAGUGUAACCUGGUUUAUUGGGCUCUCGGGAUAUUCUUGCGUUCCUUCUGCACUGGGACAAGACACCACUGCACUAUUGGACUACGGCAAGCUGGUGCCGUCCGGUGGAGCUUCAUACAGGAACUACUGCCUUAUCUGCUGGUGUCACAACGUUGGAUGAACGCACAAAAAGCGCGGAACGAGCUUUUAUAUAGAGCAAAAUAAAUAUUUCCUCAUUGAACAAAA
Dermacentor silvarum is the source of this 301-nucleotide long non-coding RNA. RefSeq lists it as uncharacterized. The record is from RefSeq and is a predicted model, not a curated record. The transcript has 2 exons. Lineage: Eukaryota; Metazoa; Arthropoda; Arachnida; Ixodida; Ixodidae.